CAUUAGAUGGCUGAAAGUAAGCAAUAGAAUUUUAAACUAUUUGAUAAUAUAGUAACGUUUAUUUCUAAUGA
RNAcentral lists this transfer RNA (71 nucleotides) under Paleosepharia posticata. Its description in RNAcentral is "tRNA-Lys". Lineage: Eukaryota; Metazoa; Arthropoda; Insecta; Coleoptera; Chrysomelidae. The record is from RNAcentral.